GACGAACACUGGCGGCGUGCUUAACACAUGCAAGUCGAACGGAAAGGCCUGCUUUCCCUUGUGGAUUGCGGGUACUCGAGUGGCGAACGGGUGAGUAACACGUGAGUGAUCUGCCCCCAACUUGGGUAUAAGCCUGGGAAACUGGGUCUAAUUCCCGAUAGGACUGCAGGGUGGUGCCUGUGGUGGAAAACGAUUUUCUAGUGGUUGGGGAUGAGCUCGCGGCCUAUCAGCUUGUUGGUGGGGUAAUGGCCUACCAAGGCGGCGACGGGUAGCCGGCCUGAGAGGGUGGACGGCCACAUUGGGACUGGGAUACGGCCCAGACUCCUACGGGAGGCAGCAGUGGGGAAUAUUGCACAAUGGGCGGAAGCCUGAUGCAGCGACGCCGCGUGGGGGAUGACGGCCUUCGGGUUGUAAACUCCUUUCGACCGCGAGGAAGCCACCUGGUUGGAAGGGUGGUGACGGUAGUGGUAGAAGAAGCACCGGCUAACUACGUG
RNAcentral lists this ribosomal RNA (494 nucleotides) under uncultured bacterium. Its description in RNAcentral is "partial 16S ribosomal RNA". It matches the Rfam family "Bacterial small subunit ribosomal RNA", at positions 28 to 507 of the family's 1533-position model. The record is from RNAcentral.